RNAcentral lists this ribosomal RNA (236 nucleotides) under uncultured bacterium. RNAcentral's name for it is "partial 16S ribosomal RNA". It matches the Rfam family "Bacterial small subunit ribosomal RNA", at positions 88 to 339 of the family's 1533-position model. The record is from RNAcentral.
GUCCCUAGUGGCGCACGGGUGAGUAACGCGUGGGAAUCUGUCCAAGUGUGGGGAAUAACUACGGGAAACUGUAGCUAAUACCGCAUACGCCCUACGGGGGAAAGGCUUCGGCCGUACUUGGAUGAGCCCGCGUCAGAUUAGCUAGUUGGUGGGGUAAAGGCCUACCAAGGCUACGAUCUGUAACUGGUCUGAGAGGACGAUCAGUCACACUGGAACUGAGACACGGUCCAGACUCC